RNAcentral lists this small nuclear RNA (130 nucleotides) under Zalophus californianus (California sea lion). RNAcentral describes it as "U4 spliceosomal RNA (ENSZCAG00015019492.1)". The stretch from base 1 to 80 matches the Rfam family "U4 spliceosomal RNA". From Rfam's summary of the family: U4 small nuclear RNA (U4 snRNA) is a component of the major U2-dependent spliceosome. The structure of U4 snRNA from yeast and human has been reported. The record is from RNAcentral. Lineage: Eukaryota; Metazoa; Chordata; Mammalia; Carnivora; Otariidae. RNAcentral also lists the same sequence under 2 other names.
AGCUUUGCACAGUGGCAGCAUCAUAACCAAUGAGGUUUAUCCAAGGAGUGAUUAUUGCUACUUGAAAACUGUUCUCAGCUGGGUCUCCCAGGAUGGCAUACCCUUGGCAUUGAAGAGGCUCAUAUCAGCC